Molecule: long non-coding RNA, 583 nt
Filed under: Salmo salar (Atlantic salmon)
Lineage: Eukaryota; Metazoa; Chordata; Actinopteri; Salmoniformes; Salmonidae
Description: lncRNA (ENSSSAG00000110021.1)
Source: RNAcentral
GUUCCUUUUCAUUUCUGAAGACAAUGGAAUUGUCCGGUUGGAAUAUUAUCGAAGAGUUAUGAUAAAAACAUCAUAAAGAUUGAUGCUAUACAUCGUUUGACAUGUUUCUACGAACUGUAAUAUAACUUUUUUGACUUUUUGUCUGAACAUAUUGCGCGAGCACAGUAAAUUUGGAAUGCUGGACUGAACGCGCGAACAAAAAGGAGGUAUUUCGACAUAAAUAUGGACUUUAUCGAAACAAAACAAACAUUUAUUGUGGAACUGGGAUUCCUGGGAGUGCAUUCCGAUGAAGAUCAUCAAAGGGGGAAGAUGGAGUGCAGUUCAGGUGAAGCUCGGGCAGGUUGCAGGAAACCAGGUGCGGAGGCUGAGGCUGGACCGAGAGGGGUUGGGACGAGACCUGAUCAUUUGUUGAAGAUAUUGACCAACAUUUUGGCGAGCUUGCAAGGAUUAAGUGACCACUUCGCUGGACUGACCAUUGAUCCACGUGCAAGCGCUACAAAAUUAUAAGGGCCCUUUGCUGUCCAGGAUCUCCUCCCAUGUCCAACUAUCCUGGCCACGCUGCUUGGUGCAUUUUAGGUGGGAG